RNAcentral lists this ribosomal RNA (496 nucleotides) under uncultured bacterium. RNAcentral's name for it is "partial 16S ribosomal RNA". It matches the Rfam family "Bacterial small subunit ribosomal RNA", at positions 30 to 523 of the family's 1533-position model. The record is from RNAcentral.
AUUGAACGCUGGCGGCAUGCCUAACACAUGCAAGUCGAACGGUUUUGGAGCUUGCUCCAAGAUAGUGGCGGACGGGUGAGUAACGCGUAGGAAUCUACCUUAUAGAGGGGGACAACCCGGGGAAACGCGGGCUAAUACCGCAUAAUCUCUACGGAGCAAAGCGGGGGACCGUAAGGCCUCACGCUAAAAGAUGAGCCUAUGUUGGAUUAGCUAGUUGGUAGGUUAAAGGCCUACCAAGGCAACGAUCCAUAGCUGGUCUGAGAGGAUGAUCAGCCACACUGGGACUGAGACACGGCCCAGACUCCUACGGGAGGCAGCAGUGGGGAAUAUUGGACAAUGGGCGCAAGCCUGAUCCAGCAACGCCGUGUGUGUGAAGAAGGCCUUCGGGUUGUAAAGCACUUUUAGUUGGGAAGAAAAGCUCAAGACUAAUACCCUUGAGUGAUGACGUUACCAACAGAAAAAGCACUGGCUAACUCUGUGCCAGCAGCCGCGGUAA